This 343-nucleotide unclassified non-coding RNA is filed under the name Hevea brasiliensis (rubber tree). Lineage: Eukaryota; Viridiplantae; Streptophyta; Magnoliopsida; Malpighiales; Euphorbiaceae. The record is from RNAcentral.
GGCACACCCAGUAUCAGCACCUCCGCCGGGUGCGCAUACGGCGCCGCAAACCCCACCGGGGCCGUGAACUCGUGGUGCACUCGGUGAAUCUUCUCGUAUCCCCAUUUAGAGUGAAGUGCACGAUGAAUCCAGUAGUUGAAGAAGUCUUCUACCACAAAAUAUACCAAUAACUGCGCUGCUGCGGCUUCCAGUGAGGGGAGGGGUAAAGAGGUUGAUAUCCCGACCCAUUUGAUGACGGGGUAGGAGAAGACUUGGAGCGGGCCGACGGUGAGGAUGAAGGUGAGGACGACUUUGGUGUAGCAGGCGAGGAUGGUUGGUGGUGGGACUAGGGUUUUGGGUUGGA